AUUGAACGCUGGCGGCAUGCCUUACACAUGCAAGUCGAACGGCAGCAUGGAGAGCUUGCUCUCUGAUGGCGAGUGGCGAACGGGUGAGUAAUGCAUCGGAACGUACCGUGUAAUGGGGGAUAACGUAGCGAAAGUUACGCUAAUACCGCAUACGACCUGAGGGUGAAAGCAGGGGAUCGCAAGACCUUGCGUUAUACGAGCGGCCGAUGUCAGAUUAGCUAGUUGGUGAGGUAAAGGCUCACCAAGGCGACGAUCUGUAGCGGGUCUGAGAGGAGGAUCCGCCACACUGGGACUGAGACACGGCCCAGACUCCUACGGGAGGCAGCAGUGGGGAAUUUUGGACAAUGGGCAACCCUGAUCCAGCCAUGCCGCGUGAGUGAAGAAGGCCUUCGGGUUGUAAAGCUCUUUCGGCCGGGAAGAAAUCGCACAGGCUAAUACUCUGUGUGGAUGACGGUACCGGCAUAAGAAGCACCGGCUAACUACGUGCCAGCCGCCGCCGUAA
Molecule: ribosomal RNA, 502 nt
Filed under: uncultured bacterium
Lineage: Bacteria
Description: partial 16S ribosomal RNA
Rfam family: Bacterial small subunit ribosomal RNA
Source: RNAcentral